Molecule: long non-coding RNA, 4484 nt
Filed under: Taeniopygia guttata (zebra finch)
Lineage: Eukaryota; Metazoa; Chordata; Aves; Passeriformes; Estrildidae
Description: lncRNA (ENSTGUG00000022489.1)
Source: RNAcentral
UUUUUCUUUUUUUUUUUUUUUUUUUUUCUUUUUUUUUUUUUCCAGCAAGAAAAUAAAAAUUUUGGGAAAUAAGAAAUGUUCAGAGCAUAUAGUUUGGGAAUAGAUACCAAAUCCAGGCUUGGAAUGGAAUUCCAAGCAGGAAUUACAGGCAGCAAAUGGCCCUGGGCAGCCCCUCCAGCCAGAACAAGGGAACCAGAUGAUGCCAAGAGCUCCUGACAAACCCCCAGGGAUCUCCCAUGAGGGAUAAUGAGGCUUUCCUUCCCUGCAGUGCCCAAGGCCAGGCUGGACAUUGGGGCUUGGAGCACCUGGGGCAGUGGGAGGUGUCCCUGCCCAUGCCAGGAGGGAAUGGGUGGGAUUUAGGGUCCCUCCAACCCAAACCAUUCCAUGGUUCUGUGAUCCAAUGGAUGCAUUUUACCUGGAACUUAUCAAAGGUGCUGCCCCAGCAGGGCUGCACCUGAUAUGCCUGAGGGACAAACAGAAUUUAUUCCCACUGGAAUCAGAUCCUGCAAUUCUAUUCCCUGUGAAUAAAAAAAAAUCACUUAUUCUUUAAAAACCCAAAGACAAUCCCAGACUUUUCAAAUUGUGUGGAAGGCUGGAGAGUGGAUCCCUGUUCCCAGAACAUCAAUCAAGCCCAGGCUCAGUUUAAUUUUGUUACCAGUCAUGCUCAGCUUUCCAAAUCAUUCCAAGAGCUCCUCCUGGAGCUGUUUGAUCUCAAAAUUCUUGUUCAACGUCUCAGCGCUCUUUUAGAGAGUCUGUAAAGCCUGAGAAGCUCCAGGUCCUGAAGAGGGAAGGAAUUACAGCACUAAUAUUCCUGUUUAUUGCGUUUUUCCCCCUACUCAAGGCAAGUGAAAUGACAUGCACAGAGAUCUGGGCUGAUGAGAAGCACAUAAAUGCCAGUGUUUAGUAUCUGGAUUAGUCACAGAAGAAAGCAAAUCAUGAGCUUGUCUCUCCGAGCUGCCAAGCUGCUGACAAAGUCUUUCAGAAAUAAUGAAGCUGAGUUUAUCAAUGAAGUUUGUGUCAAGGUAAGCCAAGAUUCCCUUCAGCAUCACAAACAGGGCUUUGAUGAAACUUUCAUAAACAGUUUAAUUUUUCUCUUUUAUCUUCUCCUGCACUCCCCUCGCUGUUCUUCAGAGCAGCCCCCACCAGGAACAGCAGCUCCAGGAGAUGGGAGACCCUCCUGAAGGUUUCAGGCUGAGGUUUCUCGGUGGUUUGGUGGAGGGGAGAGCUCAGUUCCAGGUGUUUAAUAAGGGCAGAGAGACAAACUUGGCUGGCACAGGGACAAACAGUGUUGGAGUCCAGCACAUCCCUCUGGCUGCCCUGGCUGGCUCCAGACCCUGGCAGGGGCUCACAGACCUUGGCACGAGUCAAAAACACCUGUGGCUUCCAUUUUAGCCUGUGGAAAAAGCUGCCAACUCUGUGUGAGGAAUUACAAACCACAAGGGUUUGAGCAGUGUGGUAGUUAAAUUAACACAGGGUGGAAAAGUAGAAUUUUGGGGUUUUUACAAUGGGGUUCAGGGGUACAAGAUGGAGGAAUUUGGGCAUGUCCUGACCUUCUUCUCCUUCUCCUUGCCCUCCAUGCCUUGCUAUGAUGGUGACACAGGGAAUGGCUCCCACUGCCAGAGGGCAGGGAUGGGUGGGAGAUUGGGAAUUGGGAAUUCCUGGCUGGGCUGGAAUUGCCAGAGCAGCUGUGGCUGCCCCUGGAUCCCUGGCAGUGCCCAAGGCCGGGCUGGACACUGGGGCUGGAGCAGCCUGGCACAGUGGGAGGUGUCCCUACCAUGGCAGGGGUGGCACUGGAAGGUUUUUAAUGUCCCUUCCCACCCAAACCAGGCUGGGAUUCCAUGAAAUCAAGAACCCAGCAGCUCCUGGAGGAGCAUCAAGCAGGGGGCACAGAAAGGGCCCUGCUUAGCAGCUUACCCCUGCUCAUUCCUGGUAAAUCCUGGCUGUGGAUGCAGAGAAAACCACAAAACUGCUUCCUCAUCCAUCCCCUCCUCCUUUCCAGGAGGGUUUCAAAGGCUCCCCAGCCCGGCAGGAGCAGCAGGGUUGGCUCUGCAGGGACUGAGCCUUUCAAGGAGCAGAGCCCAGUCUGGAAAUAUGAAAGGGAAAAUCUGCAAAGGCUGCAAAGCCUCCCCUGUCCCCACCACAGCUGCCACCCCCUGCCCAGCUGAAGAGAAGAAAAUGCACUUCAAGAGGAAGAUUCCUUUGAAAGGAGGCAGAAGACGGGCACAGAGAGAUGAAGAUGACGGCUCCUGAGAGGGGCACAGCCCGACUGGGGCGGGAGCUCUGGGAACAAUGGGAAUUUCACCAAAAUUAGAUCAGAACACCAGCGAGGCUGCUGGAAGCUUCAGCACAGGCAGAAGGGUGAAAAGUGCCAGAGUUUGCUGGAUUUUUUUUUCCCCUGUUGUUUUACUGAGAAGGGGGAAGGGUGAGAGCCAGUGAAAUAAUCACAAAUAUUCCAGUCAAACGGGGAAACUACAGAAGUACAAAACAACUCCCUGAUUUCAUCCCUGAUUUCCUCCAGUCAGGCAGAACCUUCUGCUGAGCUGAUUCUCAACAGGAAUUCCAUAACUCAGAGGAAUUUUCACUCAGAGGAGGUACAGGGGGUGACAGGUCAUGGAGGAUGGAACGUGGAUUUUAAGAGGAUGGGACCCUGAGGGACACACUGGAAUACAAAGAUGACUUUUUUUAGGUGAGAUGUCUCUGCUCUGGAGCCAGGCUGGAGAGCUGGGAAUGUUCCCCUGGAGAGGAGAAGCUCCAGGGAGAGCUCAGAGCCCCUUGCAGGAUCUGGAGGGGCUCCAGGAAAGCUGGAGAGGGACUGGGGACAAGGGAUGGAGGGACAGGACACAGGGAAUGGCUUUAUAUUGGAAAAGAGGAGAUUGGGUGGGAUGUUGGGAAGGAAUUCCUGGCUGUGAAGGUGAGGAGGGGCUGGGUUGGAAUUCCCAGAGCAGCUGUGGCUGCCCAUGGAUCCCUGGAAUGUCCAAGGCCAGGUUGGAGCAGCCUGGGAUGGUGGAAGGUGUCCCUGGCAUGCCCAGACAGAAAACAGCUUUGCACUGCCCAGUGCCACAGGCUCCCCGUCCUCCUCCAGGUGGGAAACGGGGGGAGCAGCAGCCAGAGCAGUUAAUUGCAGCAGUUAAUUGCAGCAGUCAAUGAAGCUGUUCUCAGGGGUGAAUCUCCUGGAGCAGCAGCGCCCCGGGCAGGGUGGGCAGCAGGGAAAGCUCCAGCUCUGAUCUCAGUUUCCCUGCCCAGCCCAGUUCGGGCUGUUUCAGCCUCUCCUGGAGCUGCAGGAUCCCCCGGGGAUCAGGACUGAGAGGCCAAGGACAAAGCACUCUCCCAUUUUGUUAUUUCCAUGCUCCAACAACCCCAAACAGGCACCACUGGGAAGGGGAAGAGAGGAAAACCUCAAAAUAGAAACAGUUUCUGCUUGGAAUCGCUCCCGCUUCGUGCUGCAGGAACAGCAUCUCUUUUUCUUUGUUUUUUUUUUUAUUGUUCUCCAGACACAUUCUGGUCUUAUUUAAAGACUCAGCAAAACAGGAUAGCAUCCAUGUGGAAAGGAGGGAGAAAAAGGAGUGAGCAGAUUUGGCACUCUAGAAACUUCUGGAUGUCUCUUCAGCAAUUAUUUGGGAAGGUUUGCUGCUGCAGAAUCUCCCGCCCCACUGUCUGAAGUGUAAUUGGAAUUAAUUUCAGAUAGAGUUUCAUCAGAUCUCAUUUCAGACAACUGUUCCCUUUCAGAAGAAACUGGCUGGGAUUGUUUGCCUGGACCAACUCUUCCUGCAGGAACUCCACUGGAAGUCAAGGUAAUGAUAAAGUUUGCUUUAUACAUCAAAAAACUGGAAUUAAUUUACCUGCACACUCAUGUUCCAUGUUUCUUCAACUCUACCAUGAGUUAUUAAUACUGGGGCUGGCAGUUCUGUAGGAUUUCUUAAUUAUGUAUCAAAAUUCCCAUACAGUAAAUUCCAUCUUCACUCUGGAUGCUCCAAAGGCAACAAUUAAAUCUAUUUAUGUGAAAUUAAAUCAAACUUAUCCCCACAUCCACAAUUUGUUCUUUAUCCAGAGCAGCUGUGGCUGCCCCUGGAUCCCUGGCAGUGUCCAAGGCCAGGCUGGAUCUGGAGCUGGAUUAUCCUGCCUGUGGAUGAUCCCUAAAAUCCCUCCCAACCCAAACCAUUCUGCACUUCUGUGAGUGCUGGAAGGGAACUGAGGGGGCAAAAAGCAAUAUUUUAUUGUUUUCUGGGAGUACAACUAUUUAAAUCCAUGGAAACUGAGCCCUGGUGCCAGAGUUCCAGCCUGGAAUCCCCUUGCAGGUUGGGGGGAUUACUCAAAGUCAUGGAAGAAUAAGAGGGGUUUCAGUGAUAAAGUAAGAAAAAACAUCUCAGUUCUUAUAAUACCCCAAAAAAGUGCAAUUAUGUCUUGAUCACAGCUCAGGGAUUACAUGUUUUUAAUGAAGUGAACAUUGUCAGUGUGGGAAGCAAUAAAAAUAAAAAAAAAAAAAA